RNAcentral lists this ribosomal RNA (1351 nucleotides) under metagenome. Its description in RNAcentral is "bacterial LSU rRNA". It matches the Rfam family "Bacterial large subunit ribosomal RNA", at positions 1563 to 2925 of the family's 2925-position model. The record is from RNAcentral.
GGUUUGGGAGGGGUUUACGAACUCCGCAUGGUGAAGGAAAGUGCCAAGAAAAGCUGGUAAUGUGAUGAAAGCAUCAUACCCGUACCCGAAACCGACACAGGUAGGGAGGUUGAGAAUACCAAGGGGCGCGAGAUAACUCUCUCUAAGGAACUCGGCAAAAUGGCCCCGUAACUUCGGAAGAAGGGGUGCCCACGAGAGUGGGUCGCAGUGAAGAGAUCCAGGCGACUGUUUACCAAAAACACAGGUCUCCGCUAACUCGAAAGAGGACGUAUGGGGGCUGACGCCUGCCCAGUGCCGGAAGGUUAAGGAAGUUGGUCAGGGGUUCGCCCUGAAGCUGACGACCGAAGCCCCGGUGAACGGCGGCCGUAACUAUAACGGUCCUAAGGUAGCGAAAUUCCUUGUCGGGUAAGUUCCGACCCGCACGAAAGGCGUAACGAUCUGGAUGGUGUCUCAGAGAGAGACUCGGCGAAAUAGGAAUGUCUGUGAAGAUACGGACUGCCUGCACCUGGACAGAAAGACCCUAUGAAGCUUUACUGUAGCCUGGAAUUGUGUUCGGGCUUGGCUUGCGCAGGAUAGGUGGGAAGCACAGAAGUACCCCUUGUGGGGGGUAUGGAGCUAACGGUGAGAUACCACUCUGGCGAAGCUAGAAUUCUAACCUAGCCCCCUCAGCGGGUGUAGGAACAGUUUCAGGUGGGCAGUUUGACUGGGGCGGUCGCCUCCUAAAAGGUAACGGAGGCGCGCAAAGGUUCUCUCAGCACGCUUGGAAACCGUGCGGCGAGUGUAAAGGCAUAAAGAGAGCUUGACUGCAAGAGUGACAACUCAAGCAGGGACGAAAGUCGGCCUUAGUGAUCCGACGGCACAGAAUGGAAUGGCCGUCGCUCAACGGAUAAAAGUUACUCUAGGGAUAACAGGCUGAUCUCCCCCAAGAGUCCACAUCGACGGGGAGGUUUGGCACCUCGAUGUCGGCUCAUCGCAACCUGGGGCGGAAGUACGUCCCAAGGGUUGGGCUGUUCGCCCAUUAAAGCGGUACGUGAGCUGGGUUCAGAGCGUCGUGAGACAGUUCGGUCCAUAUCCGGUGCAGGCGUAAGAGCAUUGAGAGGAGCCUUCCUUAGUACGAGAGGACCGGGAAGGACGCACCGCUGGUGUACCAGUUAUUCCACCAGGAGUAGACGCUGGGUAGCUAGUGCGGAGCGGAUAACCGCUGAAAGCAUCUAAGUGGGAAGCCCACCUCAAGAUGAGUGCUCUCACUACUUAAGUAGGUAAGGUCACGGGCAGAACACCCGUUUAUAGGCUCUAAGUGGAAGUACAGCAAUGUAUGUAGCUGAGGAGUCCUAACAGACCGAGGGCUUGA